GGCUGGACUAGCGACGGGAACGGAGGGGGAGAAGAGAACACAGAUCAGGAACCGGGAAGAGAAAGAUUCACAAAAACUGAUGGAUGGUAAUGAGGAACCCUACCUCAAAAUGAAGGCCAAUGAAGCUAGGCAAGAUUUGGCACCUCCAUCCGUCUCACCACAGGAUUCAGGGAUGUACUCACAACAUAUUGAUGUCCAGGAUGAAUUCUUCAGUCAGGAAGGAUUCACAUACACGGGAUUCCUUCUUGGUGCUAUGACGGGGUCUGCAAAUAAUCAAGAACCU
Long non-coding RNA from Lolium rigidum, 283 nucleotides. RefSeq lists it as uncharacterized. The record is from RefSeq and is a predicted model, not a curated record. The transcript is spliced from 3 exons. NCBI's taxonomy places the organism in Eukaryota, Viridiplantae, Streptophyta, Magnoliopsida, Poales, Poaceae.